Syngnathoides biaculeatus (alligator pipefish) is the source of this 1007-nucleotide long non-coding RNA. RefSeq lists it as uncharacterized. The record is from RefSeq and is a predicted model, not a curated record. NCBI's taxonomy places the organism in Eukaryota, Metazoa, Chordata, Actinopteri, Syngnathiformes, Syngnathidae. The transcript has 3 exons.
CUACUCACAUCCCACAGUAAAUUAUUGGCAACAUUGUUACAAUUCUUGUCACCAAUUCCUGUAAAAACCCUAUUAAAUGUCUAAAAGUGUAGAUUUAGCAAAAUGAUGGCUAUUGUUUAAUUCAGGUGAAGUUGAAUGAAGAUGUCUGGGCUUGCGAUGAUAUCAUUAUUACAAGGAAGUGUUCAGUUCAGUUUCCCAGUGGCUCAUCGAUUGGGAUCUGUUUGGAAACAGUAGUCGUCUGAGUCCUGUGACUGACUGGCAACCUCCCAAGGGUGUAGUGCUCCUUUCAUAAAAAGCCAACUGGAAUAGGUUUAAUUUACCUGUGACCCUGAAUGAAAUAAGCAAUAGAGAGAAUGUUUGCCUGAAUUGUACUGUCAUUUGCAUUUUAUUUCCAAAAAACACAAUUUGUGUACUGGUCACAAAAAGAUAAGAUACGAUACAGACAGGAGAUAUCAAGUUAUGACUGUAUUGAGUUUUGAUUGACACUGACAAGAAUUAUCUAAGAACAACAUAAUAUUGUGUAGACCUUCCUUUAAAAAAAAACACACACAAUAUGAGCUGGGUCGGUUGUGUUUAUUUCAGAUGCAGCACAUGUAGGCACUUUCCGGCAGGGAUCAGCAUUAGUGCAGAGACUGGGUGGCUUUCCUCCCAUAACAUCUCUGAGGUUGGGGGGAAACUACGAGUGUGCGUUUAGUUCACCUCAAAUUAGAAUAUACCACAGCAAAGCAAAGAAGCUCAAGGGCACAACACCGCUUAAAGCACUGUUAGCACUGCGAGGAAUGUGACAGACAAGAAACAGAUGAAAGCUAUUUUAUAAAAUAUGAGGUAUUUACAAAUCAAUCGGACCUUAUAGAAAGGAAUAUUGAUUGAAACUUCCUUUGAGAUCUGCACAAUCAAUACCGCAUGCCUAACAAAGGGGGGCAGCAGAAAGCAGGUUUACAACACUGACGUGACAUGAACAUUAACCAGAGCCGACCACUUCUUAGCGCCACCUCUUGUGUUCACAA